Molecule: long non-coding RNA, 3108 nt
Filed under: Oncorhynchus kisutch (coho salmon)
Lineage: Eukaryota; Metazoa; Chordata; Actinopteri; Salmoniformes; Salmonidae
Description: lncRNA (ENSOKIG00005004399.1)
Source: RNAcentral
ACGAUUUCUGCCUACAUCGCCCAGUGAGCAGUGAGCUGAGCAAGUGGCGAUUGAAUAUGACGUUCCAUUUUGUUCUAUAAAGGCCCUCCCCUUUCUUCGUCACGUCCUCUUUCAAUUUGGUGUCUUCGCUGUAGAGGUAAGAAACAUUGAAAUAUGUCCCAAAACAAAUCCAACUGAAUCACUAGUAAUUGUUUGCCAUCCAUUACAUCCAACAACUGUGUUAUCUUUAAUUGCAGACACAUCUCCACAAGAUGAGAGCAAAGUGGAGGAAGAAGCGUAUGCGCAGGUAAGGAUCAUUUCCUUAAAGGAUUUUCAUCUUAAUGCUACUUUGUUUAUUUUCGUUCAGAUAUGCAUUCUACUCAAGUCUUCUGUUAACAUGGACACCGCACAUAUUUGCAAUCUACUACAAUAGAUUUGACAACUAUGUAUAUGACUUUUUCAGGCUCAUACGAGUUCAAUUCAGGGUGUAUGUUGAAUGUUUGUUAAUUUGGUGUCGCAGGUAGUCUAGUGGUUAGAGAACUGGGCUAGUAACUAGUUUGCUGGAUCGAAUCUCCACGAUGACAACUUAAAUAUGUUCUACUCCAGAACAAGGCAGCUAACAGCCUACUGGGGAGCAGUGUCAUUGUAAAAAAAUAUAUAUAUAUUUAUAUAAAUAAAAAUCGGUAACUGACUUGUCUAUUUUUAAAUGGACAUCACAUUUAAAUGAGUACAUGACAAUGGUGGGAUUAAUGCUAGUCAUUGUUGGGAAUUUUACAAACUGAUAUGGUGUGUAAUGAUGCAGCCCUGGUCACUAAUUGACACUCUGGUCUUUGUAGGCUGAAGCGUAAAAGGCGAAAGAUGAGGCAGAGGUCCAAGUAGACUGGCCCAUUCCCCUACUGCUGUGACUGUUUUUCUCCGCCCACUCCAAGCCCUCUGAAGCCAGCGGUCCAUGAUUUGAAAAGAGCUGAACCAUGGUGGUCUGACGCUGGUCUCGUUGGUGUGAAGGACAGAUUCUGCCUACCCAGCCCUCUACUCUGCCAAUGGCUCCUGGCCGUUGACUUCUGCUAGAAUCUCUCCUGUCGUUAAACUCUGGCCUUUUACCACCUGCACAGCUGAUUUGUUGUAAAGACCAUAAUAAAUAUUUGGUUUACUAACUACAUUACAGUCUCUGUAAACAUUGAUUCAGGUUCAAAACUUAUUUUAUUGGUGACACACAUUUAGUAGAUAUUGCGGGUGUAGUGAAAUUCUUAUCUUUUGGUCCACCCAACUUGCACUACACUUAAUGCUUUUGAUGUUGGAAACUAAUAUCUAGUGAACCAGUUGAUGCUUUUAAAUCCCCGUUGCAGUACAUUUUGGUUUACAUUUGUACAGUUAUAGACUUUGAACUGCCCUGGGGAUCAGUAAUAUAGUUGAGGUUCCGGCUUAACUUCUCUGGCAUAUGAAGAUGACAUUGGCAAGAGGCCUUGUACUAUUGUGCCUGUCCUAACCAAUGACUUGCAUUCAGUUGCACAAACCCUUUCUGGAAUAAUGGUACUAUGACAAUCACUUGCAGGUAUAUCUUGUUUGAUGCAAACUGGAAGGACUGGUCUGUGGGGCCAUCUAAUGGCUAUUUGAGGCAAACAGCUAAUGGGAACAUGUCUUCAAAACUUAAAUUAAGUUCCUGAACAGUGGUCUUCCAGUGUGCCAAGUUCUCUUAGACCCCUGAUUGGCAUGUUUCCUCUGAUCCUCUUAAUGGCAUUCUGGCAGGUAUGGCACUGCUUGUGACUGGAAGGUGCAGACAGCCCAGCGCAAGGCCUGAAACUGCCAAAGACACUUCUGUGCUGCUGUCCAUCUGUUUCUAUCCCCAGGCAGUAAGACUUAUAUAGCUAACUACUGCUUUCCUGUCCACAUUGAUUGCCAUUAAUAUUUAUCCUGCUACUGGUAGUUAAAAUAAACUAACACAUGGAAUCGUGUUACCAAAAGAGUGUUAGAGAAAUCAAAAAUGAUUAUCUGAAUUUCUUCAAAGUAGCCACCUGUUGCCAUGACAACUUAGCAUAUUUGGCAUUCUCUCAACCAGCUUCAUGAGGAAUGCUUUUCCAACAGUCUUGAAGGAGUUGGUACUUUUCCUUCAAUCUGGUCCAACUCAUCCCAAACCAUCUAAAUUGGGUUGAGGUCGGGUGAUCUGAUGCAGUACUCCAUUCCUUGGUGAAAUAGCCCUUACACAACCUGGAAGUGUGUUUUGGGUAAUUGUCCUGUUGAAAAACAAAAUAGUCCCACUAAGCCAAAACCAGAUGGGAUAUCGCUGCAGAAUGCUGUGGUAGCCAUGCUGGUUAGGUGUGCCUUGAAUUCUAAAUAAAUCACUGUCACAGGCAAAGCACCUUCACACCCACCAUGUUUUGCGUUGGGAAUCACACUUGUGGCGAUAAAUCUGUUCACCUACUCAUCUGGCAAAGAUGGUUGGAACCAAAAAUCUCUUGUGCACUCAUCUGACCAAAGGAUAGAUUUCCACCGGUCUAAUAUCCAUUGCCCAUGUUUCUUGGCCCAAGAAUCUCAUAGUGUCCUUUAGUGGUUUCUUUGCAGCAAUUUGACCAUGAAGGCUUGAUUCUCGCAUUCUCCGAACAGUUGAUGUGUCUAUAACAAACAGAAGCAUUUAUUUGGGUUGCAAUCUGAGGUGCAGUUAAGUCUAAUGAACUUAUUCUCUGCAGCGGCGGUAACUCUGGGUCUUUAAUGUGGCAGUCCACAUGAAAGCCAGUUUCAUCAUAGCGCUUUUGCAACUGCACUUGAACAAAUGUUCAAGGUUCUUUUUUGGGAUUGACUGACCACGUUUUAAUGAUGGACUGUCAUUUAUAUUUGCUUAUUUGAGAUGUUCUUGACAUAAUAUGGAUUUAGCCCUAUUUGGUAAAAUACCAUCUUCUGUAUACCACCCCUGCCUUGUCAGAAUGCCAAGUGUGUGCAAAGUUGUCAUCAAGGCAAGGAGUGGCUGCUUUGAAGAAUCUCAUAUAAAUCCUAUUUUGAUUUGACACUUUUUUUGGUUACUACAUGAUUCCAUGUGUUAUUUCAUAGUUUUGAUGUCUUCACUAUCUUCACUACAAUGUAGAAAAUAGUCAAAUAAAGAAAAACCCUUACAUGAGUAGGCAUGUCCAAACUUUC